UGAAUUUAAAUUAUUUAAUCCAACUUAAACAAGAAACAUGAAAUUAACAGCUAAGUCCUAGACCUUCACGUACAAGAAAUUAUAUAAACCCUUCUUGGUUAUUCAUACAGCACAACACACUUAAUUUCAAAACAACAAAAACAAAUAAAUCACCAAGUGAAAUCAAUAAAAUGGCUUCACCAAUGAAAUUCAGCAUGGUUAUAGCUUGUGUUUUGGUUUUGGUUAUGGUUGUUGCAGCUCAAAACAAUGGAGAAGAUGGGAUAAAUAUCAAAGUGUCUAACGAUAUGCCAGGAAUGGUAAUGGCUCCUGCACCAACACCAAAAUCAUCUGCUUCUCUACCAACCCUCACUUAUUCUGCUGCCAUCCUCAUUUUCCUUCCUUUUAUGCUUUCCUUUUUUUAGUCAAAUGAGUGGAUUUGAAUUUUGUUAACUCUUACAUGUUCUUGAUAUUAUUGUAUGUGUUGUGUUGGUGUGUUUUAAACACCUAUUGUGAUUAAAGGACUAGCCUUUAAGUUGUUGUGUACUUGAAGCUAUAUUUAUAUGGAAUAAAGGAAAUUGUUAACUUUGCUAAUGUUACUUGUAUUGAUUCAAGUAUAUAUUUAAAUGUUAUAUCCAAGGCUUGUUUUUCUUAUAAGAUUUUUUCUCAAAUACUAAAUUGUGUCUUACAAUUCUUAUAAGUUUUUGAUUAGGCGUAUUUUGUACAUGGUUACAAUUUCAAAAAUGAAAAGUUGAAAUCAAUAUGAACAUAAAUGGACGCGUAAAUUACAUUUCCCUUAUCUUUUAUAUUAAAAUUUACACUAUUCUCUCCGCUUAUUUUAAAAUGGUUUAAUACAUGCUUUGGUCCCUUAACUUAUUUUCGGAUUUUAUUUUGGUCCCCUAACUAUAAAGUGUCUCAAUUUGGUCCCUUAUGUCUUCUGCCGUUACCUAUUUUGGUCCUCUCCGUUAUAUUUUAAUUGUUUGAUCUAUUUUUCAAAUAGAAACCGUUGGAUCAUGUAGGUUUAUUGUAGCCUACGGUGCAUGAUUAACACCUGAUUUUUUUGAAGCAAAAAAUAUAUAAAAAAUUCAUAUUUUAAUUAUUCCAGAUUUUUUUUUUCAAAAUUAAAAAAAUUGAAAUUUUUUAUUUUUUUACGAAAUUUUUAAAAAAGGUCAGUUUUUUUUCGAAAAAAAAAGGUUUUUUUUCGAAAAAAAAAGGUUUUUUUUUAAUUUUUUCCUACAAAAUAUUUUAAUUUUUAAAAAUCUGGAAAAAUAUAUAAAAAAUUCAGAUUUUAAAAUUAGAAGAAAAAAAAUAUUCCAGAAUUUUUAUAAAAUCUUUUCUAAGAUUUAAAAAUUUAAUUUUUUACGAAAUUUCCAAAAAAAAAUGUUUUUUAAAAUUUUUUCUGCAAAAUUCUGGAAAAUAUUUUAAUUUAAAAAAUCCAGAAUUCUGAAUUUAAAAAUGUUAUAAAAAAGGUCAUAUUUUUUUUCGAAAAAAAAGGUUAUUUUUUUCUACAAAGUUCUGGAAAAUAUUUUAAUUUUGAAAAAUAUAUAAAAAAAUUCAAAUUUUUAUAAAAUAUGAAAAAAAGUUAUUCCUGAAUUUUAUAAAAUCUUUUUCAAAAUUUGAAAAAAAAUAAUUUUAUUACGAAAUUUAAAAAAAAACGGUCAGAUUUUUUUUUAUUUUUUUCUACAAAAUUCUGAAAAAUAUUUUAAUUUUUAAAAAUAUGGAUACAAAUUAUUUUAAAAAUAUAUAAAAAGAUGUAGAUUGAUGGUGAUUUUAAAUUUAUAUUUUUAGGAAAAUCAAGAAAAUAGAAAUGAUUAUAUGUUGUGAGUCCAUUGUAUACUUGUGUACUUUUCAAAUCUAGCCCUUGAUUUCAAUCUUAAAUGACAUGUGGACAAAAGUUAACUAUUUUUGAAAACAAACUAACAGAGAGGACCAAAAGAGGUAACGGCAGAAGACAUAAGGGACCAAAUUGAGACACUUUAUAGUUAGGGGAUCAAAAUGAAAUCCGAAAAUAAGUUAAGGGACCAAAGCAUGUAUUAAGCCUUUUAAAAUAUACACUCUCGCCUAUCUUAAACUACACUUUUCUAUUUUGACUAAAAUGAUAUUUUACUCACUCUAAAAAUGCAAGUUAUUCUUCGAUUCCUUUCACGUUUAAAGCUCUGGGAGUCUAACUCAUCAUCACAAAACCGGCUUGUGAGGUGAGGAUUGCCUCCUCUUUAUAAACUCUUCUCAAGAGUCGUGUCUAUCCGAUGUGGGACUCGGAUUUCUCCUAAUACACCUCCCUCACGCCCAGCACUCUUUGGGGCUUGGUGCGUGAAUAGGUAGGCGACCCUUGAAUUCGACAAGCUCUGAUACUAGAUUGAAAUUUUAUAAACUCUUCUCAAGAGUCAUGUCUAUCCGAUGUGGAACUCGGGUUUCUCCUAAUAGCUCUCUACAACCAACCUCUCUUCACGUACCCUCUAUUCACAUGCUCCUUUCAUAAAAUAACCUCUAUUAACCUUACUCAUGUAGAACCUCCCUUCACAUUAAAUGUGUCUCUCAACUUCUCCACCUACUUUAUAAAUACAAGUUAACUCCAAACUCCUUUACACUAUAAAACCUCUAUACAACACCUAUUCACCUGUAAACUCCUUUCAAAUUCUCUUCACAUACAAAUAAUUAAGUUCCCUUCAUUAUUUUCUCUCUAAAUGCACCAUAUGCUCAUUUCAAACUUCACAAAUCAAGAAUGAGAUUGUUUUAUUUUUUAUUUUUUUAUUUUAUCUAUUAUAAAGAUUGUUUCCUCUUUUAACCAACACUAAUGAUUUAAUAUUGGUAUAAUAGUGGCGUUAUCCUAAUAUUAAGAUUGUUUCCUCUUUUAACCAUCAAGAAUUUGACAUUACUUUUGGUGGGCCUUCUUACCAAUAACAAUUGAUGUCAAAAUAAUUGAAGGUUUGAAAAAUGAAUGCUACAUUUUAUUUGAUUUAAUUUAAAUUUGUAUAUAACUUUUUUUUUUUGAACAAAAAAUUUGUAUAUCACUUGAUAGCAUAUUGAGAAAAUAUAAGAGGGUUAGCUGCACUGCACUAAAUAUGUAGGAAGCUAAUAUUUUUAUUUUCUUUCAUAGGUGUUUUAUCUUAACAAAAUUGAUUAAGAAAUCAAAAUAAUAUAAAUCAAUUGAACUCAAUUCGAGGGGGGAUUGUUCAGGUCUGGGUUUAAAAUUAGACGAAAGAGUAGUUAUUAUUUUAACAAUUAAUUACUAACAUUUGUUAUAUAAAAAGAAAACUCAAUUCGAGUAAUGUUAUAGCAACAUUUACUUUAACACACUUUUCGACACUAACUUGUUAAUUGUAUGAAACUAGUAUUAAACCCGUGCGUCGCACGGAUUAUUGAAUUUGAUUUUCAAAAUAUUUACCAAAUAGUAUUGGGUAUAAAAUGAAUAAGGAUCAAAUUUUUUUAAAAAUUUAAUAAUAGAUAUUUAAAAAUAAAAUGAAACAUUUGCUCGGUGUGCACAAUAAAUAUACAUCUAUGAUUGAAUAAACGUAAUGACGUUACUCGUGCACAAUCGAGUAAAUCAAAUCGAUUCAUAAAGACUCUCAACAAAAAGCGGAACAAUUUUUUCGAUUUCAAAAGUUACUUUACCUUAUAUGAUGUUUCAUUCCUUGAGUGCGAAACCGUGUUGUUCGCGUUCUUAUUAAAUUUAGGUGAAAGUUACUUUACCUUAUAUGAUCCUCAGAAAAUCGUGUUGCUCGUUGUCUUGUUAAAUAUUAAUUUUUAAUUCUCAUCUUAUUACGAUGUUGAUUUCAUUUUUAUUUAAAAAUUACGGAUUCAAUCAGUGAUCUAAAUAAAAUACAUGGGCAAUCAAUCAAUUUAAACAUAUGUGUAUUAUAUUCUUUUUGUUAAGAUGUAUGCUUUGAUACAACUCAACUAAAAGUCAAGUACCAAAAUGGUGGAACCCAUUUUCAAAAUAUUUAAUCUAAUAAAAUAAUGAGUAUCGAAAGUAGAAUGAAAGUUGUUAGCAAAAUUCAAUUCACAAUAUUAAAUAAAUUGAUCAUUUAAAAAAAAAAAGAAGCGAUUAUUUAAUAUUGUGAAUUAAUCCCUUUAUUUAAUAUUGUGAAUCGAGUAAUGCUAACAACUUUCACGUGCAUGCACACAUGUAUUUACCACACAACUUUGUAUGAAUAAGCAGUGUCCCUUUUUCUUAUUUUGUUAGUGGGGAAUGUCCACAUUUUACGGUUAAUUAUGAAUUAAUAAGUUAAAGAAAAUUACACUUUUUUCUUUUAGAGAUGAUUGAAUCAUAUUCUCCUAACUUUGUAAAUUAAGAUAUAGGGUUGUGUUAAGUGCCUUAGGGACACUUUUUAAGAAGAUAAAAAUAGAAAUAAGUGAUAAAUUUAAGGUAAAAAAAGUCAAUUUUUAGAGCUUAGAGGUAUUAAAUGUAUAAUUUCUAAGAUAAAGUUUUUUUUUUGAACUUCUUAUCAAGUGUCCUUAACACACUUGUUAACCAUUAGUACUAAUGCAGUUGGAUUAAAUCCCAAAGUUUAUACUCAAUGUAAUAUCCCAGACUGCUUUCAGGAUUGCCGACUGACCCCACAAACCAACACGAGUCUUUUCAACGUAUUUUGUCCUCACUCGCACGCUUACCGGGAAACUUCCCGGUAGGUCAUCCAUCCCAAAAUUGCUUCAAGUCAAGCACGUUUAAUUGUGGAGUUCUUAUGGAAUGAGAUACCAAAAAGAAGAUGCAUCUUGUUGAUAUUGGUAGUACCAACAAUUCUUAUAAGCAUAUUCCUUCAACCAUGUAGUCCCAUACCUACACAGCCUAAUGAUCCCUCUCAUUCCGAUGUGAUUCGGUUCCUCUAAAAACUGUCGGGAGCCGCUCAUUAUCGUGCCUUGUGCACCGGCGACCACUCCCCGUCCUCGUCAGCCUUGGGUGUUACAUAACCUCCAAACUUGGUUGUUUUUCAAACUUGCAACAUUUAUGAUGAAGAUUUCAUUAGCUUGCAAUAUUAUACAACAAAUGUGUAAAACAUCAUCAUGAAUAUAUUUCUGUAAUUUAGCCAUAUUCUUCUUUCCCCUAACAAAUCGCAAUGAUAAAAACAAAGCAUCAAUUCAUUCUUAUAUUUAUUGCAUCUAUCUAUUAGUUAUAAACAAGAAGCAUGAUAGUAACAAAGUCCUAUGCCACCUAGCACCUUAUUAAUUAUUCUCUCUUGUUUGUUUAUUCUAUAAGAAAGAAUCAAUUAGCCGAACCUAUAUAAUCUUUCACCACUAUUUAUAUUAAUUCUCCAUUUUGGUACAAACAUCAAAGAAAUUAAUUAUUAUAAUCAAGUGCAUAUAUUCAACAAUGGCUUUAUCACUCAAGUUCAAUGUGUUUGUAGCAUGUCUUUUGGUUUUAAUUGCAGUUGCUGCUGCUCAAUAUGGAUCAGGUGGUUCUGACUAUGAUGCAAAUGCUCCCUCUGCCUCUCCACGAAGCCUUAGCUAUCCUACAACCAUCAUUGUUCUUCUUCCUUUUGUGCUUACUUUUCUUGCAGCCAAAUUGAAUGUUUGAAUUUAAUUUUAUAUAAACAAGCUUCCCUCUUUGUCUUGUCUUAAUUUCUAUUUGUAUUUUAUUGUUUUGAUGGGCACCUUAUUGAAGGACCAUCCUUCAUAUCAUAAGUUUGUUGUUUUUAUUUAUUAUUAAUCAUGUUGUGUCCUUGAAAUUAUAUUAUAUGUAACCCAAUAAAUCUAUUUCUGGCAAUAUAUAUUUAUAUUCCAUUAGAGUUGUUUCUUUAAGAUAGCUACAUGUCUAAAUUAAUGGUGAGAUUAACAAAAUUACGAUGAGCCUCUCCAACAGUGGCGAAGCUCGCCAAUUUUGUACAUGGUGGCAAAACAUAAGUAUUUUUUUUGAAAAAAAAUUAAUAUAUUAAAUGUAAUUCAUAAGAAAAAAAAAUCACAAUCAUUUUACUUAAAAUAAAAUAUAAAUUAAAGUAACACAAAGAAAACUAUUUAUUAAAAAAAAUAAACUUAACAACACUUCAAAGAGUCAAAUUCAUUUGUAAUUGACCUUAUCCAUAUUUACAAUUUAAACAACUAGGUAAUUUUAUUUUUUAGUUUAUCUUUACAAUUUUCAUUGCUGAUAAUAUUAUCUUUUUAGUUGCUUAAGAUAUCCAAAAUAAGACAAAAUAAAUCUUUUAAACAAAUGGUAAUAUUUUAUUUCUCUUAAUUUUGCACAAAUAAACUUAUUUGAGGUAGCCCGAUAUAUUUUAUUGGGAUAGCCAAACACAAAAUACACUUACUAAUACAAAUAAAAUUAUAAUUUUUGGGGUUGCCAAAGCUACCCCUCUCUAUAAGGUAGCUACGCCCCUGCUCUCCAAAUUAUACAGAUGAUACAUUUCGUAACUUCAACAAAAUUAUGAUACCACCGUGAUUUUGUCAAAAUGAUUAUCGUCAAUCCAAAAUAUACUAAAAUGUAUUUCAUAGAUAUUAAGGGUGAAAGUCAGGAAUCAAAAUAACUUGGUUAUAUUGUUAAUUAUCAAAGGAUGAUAUUUAAUUUUGGUCUAUAAAUAUAUAUUGAUUAGAAGGAAAUAUGUUUGAGCAUAAGUUUAUAAGAAUAUCCAACUCAAAAGAUUAAUCUAUUAUACGUGAAAAAUGACCUAAUAAAGCUUGAAUAAACCAAAAGGAUAAAUCUAUUUUUAGACUAGACUUUUCAAUGUAGGCAUUUCAACAAUGCAACUGCGUACAUUCCCUUCGAGAGCAUAUAUCAUUGAUAGCUUUUACUCUACGACACAUUACUUUGUGAAACUUUACUCGAUUUUAUCUUGACUGAUCAUAAGUCUACACUUAGCACAAGUGUUAGGAGCAUGGAUUCAAAAGAAAAAGCUCAUCCCAGAAAAUUAAUCUAUAACAUGAAAGAACCAUUUAACAUAAGUUUCAUUUUUUAUACGAGACGACCCAAUGUGUAACUCCUAUAAAGAAAAUAGUUAUUGUUACGAGAGAAAUUUAACAAGGGAUGCAAGAAUUCCAUGUGACGAGACGACUCAUAAUUUCAUGCAUUAAUUAUUUUCCUAACAAAUGCGAAAGAAAACAACUUUUAUGUUCUUUUGGUAGAAUAACAAAGGAAAAAAAAAAACAUCUUUACGUAAUCACUCAUGCAAUUUACCUUUACUAAAAAAAAAA
RNAcentral lists this long non-coding RNA (7095 nucleotides) under Medicago truncatula (barrel medic). RNAcentral's name for it is "long non-coding RNA (MTRU_LNC003034)". The record is from RNAcentral. Lineage: Eukaryota; Viridiplantae; Streptophyta; Magnoliopsida; Fabales; Fabaceae.